This 468-nucleotide ribosomal RNA is filed under the name uncultured bacterium. RNAcentral describes it as "partial 16S ribosomal RNA". It matches the Rfam family "Bacterial small subunit ribosomal RNA", at positions 28 to 507 of the family's 1533-position model. The record is from RNAcentral.
GACGAACGCUGGCGGCGUGCUUAACACAUGCCAGUCGAACGGACAGGCCCUGCUUUUGUGGGGUGCUCGAGUGGCGAACGGGUGAGUAACACGUGAGUAUCCUGCCCUUGACUUUGGGAUAACUUCAGGAAACUGGGGCUAAUACCGGAUAGGAGCUCUUGCUGCAUGGGGGGGGUUGGAAAGUUUCGGCGGUUGGGGAUGGUCUCGCGGCUUAUCAGCUUGUUUGUGGGGUAGUGGCUUACCAAGGCUUUGAAGGGUAGCCGGCCUGGGAGGGUGAACGGGCACAAUGGUCCUAAGAGACGGAGCAGAAUCAUACGGGAGGCAGCAGGGGGGAGUAUGGCAGAGUAGGCGGAAGCGAGAGACAACGACGCCGCGUGCGGGAUGAUGGCCUUUGGGGGGUAAACCGCUGUCGCCGGUGACGAGGCGUGAUUGACGGUAAUGGGUAAAGAAGCACCGGCUAACUACGUG